UUCAUUUUAUUAGCUUUCCUUGUGUGAUAGUAAUGCUUAAACUCAGGGCGUAGCUAGGAGUUAGUUUAGUUGAUCUUUUGACUGCUUCUAUUUCGAUCCAUGAAGAUCUCUCUGUAUUAUUUUUAUUUUUGUAUUAUAUUUAUGAUUUACUUGUUUGAAAAUUUCCAUAUGUAAUCUCGACUUGUGAUGACACAAGAAAAGUUUCUGGCUACGUUAUUGUUAAACUCAUUAUUUUUUUUACCGUGAUGAAAUAAAUCUUAUCCAGGG
RNAcentral lists this long non-coding RNA (267 nucleotides) under Oryza brachyantha (malo sina). RNAcentral's name for it is "long non-coding RNA (OBRA_LNC000972)". Lineage: Eukaryota; Viridiplantae; Streptophyta; Magnoliopsida; Poales; Poaceae. The record is from RNAcentral.